RNAcentral lists this ribosomal RNA (209 nucleotides) under uncultured bacterium. Its description in RNAcentral is "partial 16S ribosomal RNA". It matches the Rfam family "Bacterial small subunit ribosomal RNA", at positions 568 to 774 of the family's 1533-position model. The record is from RNAcentral.
UUCGUAGGUGGCCUACUAAGUCAGACGUGAAAUCCCUCAGCUUAACUGGGGAACUGCGUCUGAUACUGGGGGGCGUUGAGUGCAGGAGAGGAACGCGGAAUUCCAGGUGUAGCGGUGAAAUGCGUAGAUAUCUGGAGGAACACCGGUGGCGAAGGCGGCGUUCUGGACUGCAACUGACACUGAUGAACGAAAGGCCAGGGAGGCAAACG